UGUAGAAAGACGCAUUUUACAUGCAGCACGAACGCGAGUAGGGUCAAAUGGUCCCAAAUGCCACUGUAAGAAUUUGUGUCGUUUUCUCCUAAUGAGAUCCACAUAUUAACGCCAUUCGAAGUCCUAACAGUAACUUUACAAUACUUGCUAGCUUCAUCAUGAAAACAUUUUCCAAAUUUAAGUUUGGAAAUCAUUCCCAGAACGUUUCAAUAGACCAUUUCCGUCAGACCUGACACCAUAUUUUUAUAUUUUUUCUGGGAAGAUAAUGAUAUCGAACUAAAAUUUCCGUUGUUAUUUUUUGUUUUUAUGCAUUCUUGAUUGUUUUUACAAAUUUUCAAAAAUUGACUAUUUCACCACUUUUGGAGGCAUGCGGAACGAAAAUAGUAACCCUAAGAGUGGUGAAUAAAUCCUAAAACUGGUAACCCUAUGAGCAGCUGUUAUUAACGUUUUGAAACGUCAAAAAACAACUCAAUUCACAACAAGCGGCAAACGUAUUACUGGAGCGAUUUGUAGGGUCCCAGCUACGGCAUCCGGUUUGUAACGUCGGAGUUUAAAGUGAUAUCUGCAAGAAGUGUUGUCGACUAUGGGCUCGAACUUACUGGACACGAAAACGAAACGAGAUUGAACGACCCGGCCAACCGAAGUGGGAUGUAUCCGUCCGGAAGCUUGCAAAUGGGUCACGUUAGAGUGUACACGAUUAGCGAUGCGAUUACUGAGUACCAACGACUGAACGGCUUUGCUGCCCCCGAUGGGUUAGGAUGCGUUUGGGCUGCCAGUAGAGAUUGCGAUCAUGCAGCGGAAAAUUGCGGUGGAUAAAUCGAUCAAGCAGAAGUCAGAACAUAGAGCAGAUGCGAGAACAGAACAACUGCAGUUGUUGCUGAUGAUGUAUGCGGAUGGAACUUGAGAUGGAGUAGAGUAUCAGAAGAAGGCUCCCUGACCUGAUACUGUUGAUGAGAUGAUGUUGGCCGAUGAGCAAAAUGAUGACAAUGAAUGCGGUGCCAAAGUGAAGAAAAAGGUUUUUGAUACAAUGGUAUUUUAAAACCACGAGAUUUGCGAAAACAUUUCACGAUGGGGGGCUGAUCUUGGAAAUACAGAAUCAAGCUACAAAAGCACUAAAUUGGAAAA
This is a long non-coding RNA of Aedes aegypti (yellow fever mosquito), 1125 nucleotides long. RefSeq lists it as uncharacterized. The record is from RefSeq and is a predicted model, not a curated record. The transcript has 2 exons. Lineage: Eukaryota; Metazoa; Arthropoda; Insecta; Diptera; Culicidae.